This is a non-coding RNA of Bubalus bubalis (water buffalo), 683 nucleotides long. Lineage: Eukaryota; Metazoa; Chordata; Mammalia; Artiodactyla; Bovidae. The record is from the annotation of a RefSeq genome assembly.
AAUAUUAGUCAGUACCCUGUGAGUUGGGGAUGUCUCGCCUUCUUUGUGGGAUGUGACUAAAACAGGGCAGGAAGACCUAGACAAGGAACUGCUUGAUCAUUGGCUGAGCGAUCCUGGCAACAACACACUGCAACAGAUACCUGCACUGGUUGUAAGUCUCUAACAGCAACAGUUGUUUCUGUUCUCUGGAAACAAGCCUAGGAGCAGACACAAGUGUGAGCUCUGAGCCCACAAUCCUGGUUUGUCCUUGAAGUAUGAGGCUGGUGAUUGGAAUAACUGUUUUUCUGACCUUGGGGGCUGUGAUUAAUGCUAAGACCACCCAGCCCAGCUCCAUGGAUUGUGCUGAAGGAGAGGAUGUAAACCUGCCUUGUAACCACUCUACCAUUGGUGGAAAUGACUAUAUCCAUUGGUAUCGGCAAAAUCCCAAUCAGAGUCCACAGUAUGUCAUUCAUGGCUUAAGAGGCACAGUGAACAGCAGCAUGGCCUCUCUGACCAUAGCUUCAGACAGAAAGUCCAGCACCUUGGUCCUGCCCCAGCUCACCCUGAGAGACGCUGCUGUGUACUACUGCGUCCUGAGAGAGGCACACUGGGACAGAUGGGGCUGCACCUGUGCAGUAUCUCUGGUGGUCUGGUGGGAAGAUGGGGGGGCAGAGUUGGGGGAGCCGUCACAAGAGCAAAUCUAG